Molecule: long non-coding RNA, 1466 nt
Filed under: Equus caballus (horse)
Lineage: Eukaryota; Metazoa; Chordata; Mammalia; Perissodactyla; Equidae
Description: lncRNA (ENSECAG00000055243.1)
Source: RNAcentral
GAAGAGAGAACCAGAAAGAUGGCAGCAUGAGAAGGACUUGGCUUGAUAUUGCUGGCUUGAAGACAGAGAAAGGGGACCACGAACCAAGGAAAGCAAGUGACAUCUAGGGGAUAGAAAACCAAGGAAACAGGUUCUCCCCUGGAACCUGCAGGAAGUCAUGGACUCUGCCAAAACCUUGAUCUUAGCCUGCUGAAGAUCCGUGUCAGACUUUGCAUCUAUGGAACUGUGUGAUUUUACUUUUCCAACCUACUUUGCGUAUGUCUUUUAUUUUAACUGACUUAAAUCCUUCCUGAAAAAAAGAUAACGUUCGGAAAUAAAGGAACAAACAGAAGAGCGCAGCGUGCUGUCCUUAGAUUCAUGUCUGGAAGACCACGUUGUAUAAACGUAAAACAUGUACUGAGGAAAACAGUUUUAAAAUGCUGCUUAAUAAAUCAAGAGUCUUAUUUUAGACCAGUGAGAGAUUUUAAAGUAAGAAAAAUGCCAUCGUGUUGUAUUGUCAAUCAAAGAUGUCUCUGAAAACUUGAGUCAGGCUCUUCUCUGAAAAUGGUGAAGAAAGUGACUUGGUGAAGAGAAGGGGGCCUUCUAAAUGACAUUCUCUGGAGAAGCUGCUCUACCCGGGCAAAACCAUUAUGGGGACUGACAACUGGGACGGAGAUGAAGUAAGAGUUCUGCAAGUCAGAAGUCCAAAUGGGUCUUACGGGGCUAAAAUCAGGGUGUCAGUGGAGCACUGGUCCUUCUAGAGGCUCUAGGCAGUGCUCUCUCAUGGAUGAGUUACCUGUUCUUUCCAGCACACGGGCGCAAAGCUCUGUAAGUUGAAAAUCAGGACACAGACUGGCUGGGUUAUCUGCUGUGGUGCUCAGAUGGCUGAAAUCAAGGUGUCGACCCAGCUGACUUCUUACCUGUAGGCUCUGGAGAAAAAUUCAUUUCCAAGCUCAUUCUUGCUGUUGGCAGAAUUCAGUUCUUUGCGGAUGUAGGAUUGAGGUCCCCAUUUCCUUGCUGGCUGUCAGCCAGGGUCCACUCUCAGCUCCUAGAGGCUGCCUGCAGUUUACACCGUGGAUGUUUUCUUUCAGCCAGUAGGAACAUGCUUUUCUGACUUUCAAUUACAGCUCUCUGCAACCAGCGAAAAAAAUCUCUUUGGGUUGAAAGGACCCAAUUCAGCGGCUAUUCUGGACGUGUGUUGUCCAUGGCUUGCCUUCCCCAUGCUCUCAGUCACCGAAGGCUCAUGCUGCUGUCCUGGAUCCCCAUCUCCAAACCUGCAACUCAUUCUCCUUGUCUCCAACUACCUGUCUGUUUCCUCAAGGUCCUGCUCCUUGAGCUCAUCGGAUAAAAGAAUCUGCUUGGUCCACCAGUGGACUGAGAGUAGAAGAAAGUCCAAAUAGAACUUUUUAUACUCCCUGCAGGGAUACAUUUUCUUAUUUUAAAUGUUUACUUAUUUUAAGGUCUUCUUUGGUGGUUGGACUAUAGUA